Molecule: unclassified non-coding RNA, 253 nt
Filed under: uncultured Caryophanales bacterium
Lineage: Bacteria; Bacillati; Bacillota; Bacilli; Caryophanales
Description: uncultured Bacillales bacterium contains 16S-23S intergenic spacer region
Rfam family: Bacterial small subunit ribosomal RNA
Source: RNAcentral
UACGUAGGGGGUAAGCGUUGUCCGGAAUUAUUGUGCGUAAAGCGCGCGCAGGCGGCUUCUUAAGUCUGAUGUGAAAGCCCACGGCUUAACCGUGGAGGGUCAUUGGAAACUUGGGAACUUGAGUGCAGAAGAGGAGAGCGGAAUUCCACGUGUAGAGGUGAAAUGCGUAGAUAUGUGGAGGAACACCAGUGGCGAAGGCGGCUCUCUGGUCUGUAACUGACGCUGAGGUGCGAAAGCGUGGGGAGCGAACAGG